Molecule: unclassified non-coding RNA, 905 nt
Filed under: Hevea brasiliensis (rubber tree)
Lineage: Eukaryota; Viridiplantae; Streptophyta; Magnoliopsida; Malpighiales; Euphorbiaceae
Source: RNAcentral
AGAUUUUUUUUUUUUUUUUUAUUUGAUGUAACUUUUGAGCUCUACGUGUUGGAAAAUACCGAAGACAGUUUAAGCACAUUUCGACCGAAAAAAUAUUUUAUUUUGCUCAAUUUUUUAAUUUUUUUUUGUUAUUAUACUUUUUAACUCUAAUUUCUUAAUGAUAAUUUUUUCAAUUUACAAUUAAGGACAUUCUCCUCAUGAAAAAUAAUAGAUAUUAGUAUUUAUCAGUACCUAAUUUUAUAUUAUAUUAUUUGAUAUAUAACUAAUUGCAAGUAAUAAUGACACAAGAAAUAUUUUGUGAUCGAUGGUCAAUGUGUUAUUACAACAAUUUUUACAACUUAGGUCCAAAACUCACUGCUAUAAUUCUUAUAUUUUUUUUCCUUGCUUGCUUGCUUCUCCACGUCCACACCAUUUCUUUAACUGAUUGGCUAAAAUUACUUUAAUAUAAAUUCUAGGUUUAACUUAAUCCCUAACCUAAUCUGUAAAGUUGUGGCCUAGACUUGCAUAUAGUUGACAUUUGCAUCUAAGUUAAAACUGAUAUUAAAGAAAAUGCAGCUACAAAUACAGUUUAGAAUUUUGCAUUUAGUUUAAAUGGGUUUCAAUUGUAAAUUAAUUCAUUAGUAUGUGACCUAUUCACAUAUGCUAAGAGAUUUCCAAGUCGAUUUUUCGCUUCUUCUAUCUUAGAGUGGUGAUGAAUUCUAAAUGGUGCGAGAAUUUAAUGUAUUAAACACAUCAGGUAUAAAUAUUAUUACCUGGUGUCUGUAAAACUAACACGUCUAUUUCAUUUUGAAGUAUUUAUCUUUGGCUUUAAUGUCAUCACGCACCGGCUAGAGCAAAGGUCAGACGCUAGAAAUGGACCAAAUGAAUUUGUCCAGUGCUUCCAUAAAUUAUUAAUUAAAAAAUAA